This is a non-coding RNA of Salmo salar (Atlantic salmon), 1632 nucleotides long. The record is from RefSeq and is a predicted model, not a curated record. Lineage: Eukaryota; Metazoa; Chordata; Actinopteri; Salmoniformes; Salmonidae.
UGAAAUAAUCUGUCUGUAAACAAUUGUUGAAAAAAUUAAGUGUAUGUAAACUUCCGACUUCAACUGUACUUGAUAACCAAAGUAACAAUCCCAGCAUUGACAGAAAGGGCCAUAAGAUACCCUUUUAGUCCUGUUUCAUACUCUUAAGACCUAUAUGUAGUUCAGGGCUUUCUAUAGAGCAAUUAUUCUUACCACACACCUCAUGGUAAUAGUGGCAGCAACUGCAGAAUUGAAGGCUUUGAAACCACGUGAUUCACCGCAGACCUUUAGUAUGCUCCUAUCUAUAAAGCCAUGAACUAAAAUGUAAAGAGCUUGUUCAUUUAAAGAUGGAGCGGCUGUGGCCCUGGAUCCAUGUGCUGUGUAUUCUAGUCCUCACAGACCUGUGGACUUUACCCAUCUCUAAGGAACAAUGGCCAAGGCCUAAGAACAUGGAACUGGCUGAGUUUUGUGUCUUCAUCCACUCUUUUGAAAAUCAUCUGGAAAAGAGUAAAAAAAUACUGCAUUGGAGUACAUUGAUUGUUUUGACUAAUUCCUCAGGUAUUGCAAUUCUAGUUAUUUUCUGUUUUUCAAUGGUAAUAGUUGAGUAUACUUACAGUAGGAGGUGCACUUUAGGACAACUAAAAGUUAUGACUACUUUAGAUCAAGCAAAAGCUAUUUUCUGGAUAACUUAAAAUGUUGCCUACUUUAGGACAAAUAAGACGUAUUUGUCCAUAUAAGAGAAGCGACCUGCUAUCAGUGGGAAUUUGGUUAGUAACCAGCUGGUUGAUAAGGUACCUGAGGAUGUUCUACCACAUGAGCCACAGCAGUGGUCCCCUGCCCUGCAGUAAGAGGGCCACCUCCACCUCAGCCCUGGAGGAGAAGAUCAGGGAGAUGCAGGGUUUCUUUAGUCUGAAGAAGACUGGUAGACUGGAUCUCCAAACCCUCUCUCUGAUGAGGAAGCACAGGUGUGUACUGCCUGCUGUGGAAAACUACAGCUUUUACCCUGACCAGUGGAAGAAUCACACCUUCACCUACAGGAUUGCUCAGUACACCCCUGACCUUACAAGGGAAGUGGUGGAUACCUCAUUCCGUUUGGCCCUGAAAAUCUGGAGUGAUGAGGCCCCACUGAAAUUCAUCAAUGUCAACCACGACAAGGCAGACAUUAUCCUCUCCUAAGCAAGAAAGACUCAUGGAAAAUUCUUUCCCUUUGAUGGCCCCACAGGUAUUCUGGCUCACGCCUUCAAGCCAAGGGAGUGCAUGGGGGGAGACGUGCACUUUGACAAGGAUGAAAUCUGGACAGUGUGGCAUCGCAAGCUAGGUUACAACCUGUUCACUGUUGUGGCCCAUGAGUCAGGCCACUCCCUUGGUAUCUCCCAUUCCAAAGACCCCUCAUCUCUCAUGUACCCCAACUACAAGUAUUACAAUGGAGCACAGUACACACUGCCAUGAGGUGACGCGCUGGGAAUCCAGCAGUACAUGUGGUUGAGGACAACAUGGACGACAUACUGGAAUCGUCUGAGAGAGGGCCCCAGCAGCACAUACCUUCCCAGCAUCAACUCUCCUGUGGGUGCGGCCUAUGACAUCCCUGCCAAAGGCGUGGCAUAUGUCUUCACUGGUAAUGUGCAGUCUGAUCGCCUCAAAGGCCUCACUUAG